AUUAUGCUACAUUUACAACACUCCUCCAUGUUUUGCAGAAAAGGGUGAAAAGGCCCAAAAUCCUUCUAUAAUGGAGAGGGUCAAGAAACUGUGGUUGCUGUAAUUUAUGGAGGGACCCGACCGUGAAGAAAAGAAGUAACCAGAGGGGCCAAGCUAAAGUUGGAGGGAUCAUCUUGUGAAGAAAGAAGAGAAGUGGAAGGGCAAAAGAGCAAAAGGGGCAUAUCAGAGGAGGGGGAUCAAAUCCCUAGCGGCAACCAUCGAUCCCCUUGGUGUCUGGCCACAUCUCCCUCUCUCUCCCCCACCUCCUUCUCCAGCACAGGCCGCCGCCACGGCCAGGCUGGCGUGGGGCACGCCACCAGCUCCACUUUGUUGCCGCACCUCCGCACUCCAUGCAUCCAUUCUCUGCACCGCAACCCAUCCACCAUAACUACCACGAGUCGCUUGCUGCACCUCACGCCGCCAAUCUGAAUCUCUUCUUCCUUCUUGCUGUUGUUCAUCCCAACCUCGUUGUUGUUCAUCUUUGCUACUGCCCUAAGCUCUCUUCUUCUCUCUCAAACUUGUUGCUGCUGAUGCCCUCAACCUCCUGCUGCUCCUCUCUUCUUGCGCCUCUACUGUUGCCCCUUCUACCCCUACCUCGCUGGUGCUCUGCUUCUUUUCCGUCCCCACGCUGCUGCUGCUCCUUCUCUCUAUGCCCCUGCUGCUGCUUCUUUCCCAGUCUUGCAACUGCCCUUCUGCAUCUCCAACUUGUUGUUGCUCCUCUGAACCUCUUCUCCUCCUAGUGUUGCUUCUAUCUUGCCGCUUCCCUGUAGCGGUUCCUUUCCUUCACCCGCUGCUCUCUUUGUGUGUGUGUGUGUGUGUGUGUUCGUGUGUGUGAGAUUGUGUGUGUUUGUACUUCAUAAGUAUUGAUAGUAUGUGAUGAAGAGAUAUGUUAAUUCUAGGGACAAGUAGUUGUUCUUAUAAUUUUGUUGAUCAGUGAGAAUUGGUACUGAUGCUUAUGACCUUCUAUUUCUAUGUAUGAGAUCUAGCCAAACCUGUCAUUUAUAUAUUGUACUUGCUGAAUAGUGUUCAGUUUUUAGUCCCUGUUUUAGCUCUAGUACCCGUGACAUAUAUGUUCGUGAUAUAUGUUUCAUGUGGUUUCGUAUUGCUGUUAUGUUGAUCAUUUUAGUGCUAGUACUGUGUCUUGUGUAAUCCAAACCAUAUAUGAUUUGUGUGUAGUAGCUUUUAAUAAUUCAUAUUAUUUCUUGUGAAUUUUCUAUCGAUGUUACUCUCUGUAGAAGUGAGAUGUAUGAACAUUUAAUUUCCAGUCUCCGUGUUAACGAUGUUAGUGUGAAUAUAUAUAUAUAUAUAUAUAUUUGUUGUGAUAUAUUUCUGUCCCUGUCGUACUAGCGUGUUCCUACCUUGUCUCAUACUUGCUAGUUAUAUAUAUACAUAUAUGUGGUCUUGUCUUGUUAAUUCCCCUUGUUGAGGAUGUCCGUCUGUAGUUUCAAUUUUCUCAAGUGAUAUGAAAACACCAAAAAAGGAGCGAGUUUCAAUCUUAAUCUCCUCGUGUCGUUUGUCAUUUUAUUUGUCGUCAUUCUAGAUUUGUAUUUUCUUCUUUCAUCAUCUAAAUUCUGUCACCUAGCUUUAGCCGAGCAUUGUUGCCGUCGCCUAGUCCCUGUGUAGAACACGACACUCGCAGUUUGGGUGUAAAAACCCCACUGUACCUACAAUUGAUCAUUUUGGCGCCGUUGCCGGGGACUAGCGUCGAGCGAUUGUGCGAAGCUAUAGACUAGGCUUAGUAUAGUUUUUGUUUAAAUUUCCAGUCAAAUUUAUUUCUGUGUUUCUUUUACCUUUUUACUUUUUGUUGCUUCGGCUUAUUAGGAUACUAACCCUCUCACCAAUGUUUCAUGUUUGUGAGCGUGUGUAGGAUAUCUUAUUAUUUGUAGGCUGAUUGACAGUUGCACUUGAACAUAUGGCUUUAGUACGUGAUCUUUGGUUGCCAAGUAGUUUGGACACGAUGACAGGGCCAAUUUGGCCAUCUAUUGAGGCCGAAAAUUUUGAGUUGAGGCCUGGACUUAUUGCUCUCGUCUUGCAGAAUCAGUUUAGAGGAUUACCCAAUGAAGACCCUCAUGAGCACAUUAGUAAUGUUCUGGAGUAUGCCAAUACAGUCCAGUAUCAUGGUGUUUCCCAAGAUGCUAUCAAGUGUAUGUUGUUCACAUUCUCUCUCAGAGAUGCUGCUAAGGACUGGUACUAUUCUUUGCCAUCAAGAUCAUACACUUGGGGUGAUAUUUCACAAGCUUUCCUGCAUAGAUAUUUUCCACUUUACAAGCAAGCUACAAUUCGUGACCAGAUCCUCAGUUUUGCGCAAGAUGGUAGUGAGAGCUUGUAUGCAGCUUGGGAGAGAUAUAAGUAUUUGCUUAGAAAAUGUCCUAAUCAUGGGCAAAAGGAUUGGUUAGUGCUUCAGAUAUUCUAUAGAGGGCUGACACAUGCUUCAAGAGAUCUUAUUGAUAUGUCAGCUGGUGGAACAAUCAUGAACAACACCGUCGAGGGUGCAAUUAUUCUCAUUGAGAGCAUUGCCUUCCACCAAAUGCAAUGGGGUUAUGAAAGGCCUAGUUCAAAUCCGAAGGUUGCAGGCCUCGUGCAAUCAGAAGCUGUGUGUUCCAUAAGUGAACAGUAAUCAUCCAUGGUGCCUAAUAUUCAAAACCAGCAUGUUUCAUUCCGGGGACAACAACAUUUCAGAACUGAAUUAGAUCCUCCAUAUAGAAAGAUUGAUCUUACUUCAAUUAUCCUUGAUGAUGAUUAUGAUAUUUUUCAAGAUGAUGAAACUACUAUAGAUCAGAUGGAAACCAGAGUAGCAGAUCCAAUACCUCAUGGCAAUGAAACUGUCCAGAAUGAGUCAAAGUUGCAAGAAGAUGUUUAUGAGGAACCUACUCUGAUUGAUGCUAAGUUGAGACAACAAGAUAUGGAGAAAUUCACUUGUGUUAGUCAACUAUGUGACUGGUGGAAUUUAGUCGUGUCACCAAUUGCCCACACUUGUGUUACAACGGUAUCUUGGCAAUUUGUCAAGAAGAAAUCAGUAGCUCCACCGGUGGUUGCCUCUAUCACAGUUAAAGAGAGUAUCUUAGAGAAGAAUAGUGAAGAUGAGAUUCCAACUCCUGCACAUACAACUAAGCAAGUCGGAGACAUUCCAAGGAGAGAGAUACAAGAGGCUGAGUCAAAUUUAGAAGAGUUGAUACUUCAAUAUCCUAAGAAGAUCCCACGUGUUGCUGAGCUGCAUGACUGGUGGAAGUCAUCAGUGUCACUAUUGAAACUUAGCAGUGAUGGUGAUGAGGAGAACAUUGCUCAAAAAGACAGCAAGGUAGUGAUCUCAGCACCCCUACCAGAUCAUGUUAGUGAAUAUUCACAGAUGGGGACACUUCAGACUCAAUUAAGUGUUGCUGGUAGUAGCACCAUGGUAGAUCCAGAGGAAGAGAGUCCUCAACUUGAAGAAGAUUUACAAGAAGGCAAGGAACAAGAUGAUCAAGAGCUGCAAUUUCCAAGUGAUCAAGUUGAAGACUCAUCAUCUACUACUCCUGAAGAAGUACAAGAAGCUGAUGUAGAUGAAGAUGAAGAACCCAAGAUUCAUUGGCCUAUUGUCAUACAUGAGCGUGAUGUGUCAGGUUUACCCAAUCCUCUUGAUGACAUGCUCCCUUGUGAUUUCUUUGCUUCUAACUUGCAUUGCAUGAUGCCAUCACUUAAGGUAGAUUUGAAAAACUAUUUGCUUGGACAUGAUCAUACACACCCUGUUAGUGGCAUUACUCUCAUUUGUGAUGAUCACAGUUACUUUCCUCGUGCUAGUUCUAUGCUUAAUGAAACAUAUCAUUCCCAUGCUAGUCUUGAGCUUAAUGAUAAAUAUCAUCCUCAUGUUAGCAUUGAGCUUACUGAUUUGUACCAUCCUAAACAUGUGCUUUAUAGCUAUGCUUAUGUAAUUGGUUAUUCGAUUGAUGACUUGGAGGGUAUUAUCCCUACCACUUGCAUUGUCUCUUUCGUUAAGUGCUCUUUCAGGUUCUUGCUUGUGCACGGUCCAUUACAUGUUGACCAGGUUCGAGGUGACAUUCCUUGGGACCCUGGUGGACUCAGAGCAUGGGGAUGAGGAGAAGCAAGGGGGCACACACGAGGAAGGGAGAAGCUGGAGCAGGCAUGAGGAUAGAGAAGCAAAAGGAGAGGAGCUGCAGUUGGUGAGGUGAUCGAGCGAGUGCUACAUCAUCAAAGCCCGGUGAGCUGUUUCAUGACCCAUUCCGAGUAUAUCAUCCAUUGAUACAUGCUGAAAUCAAAUGUUAUUUGGGUUGCUUAAGACAUGUCUUAAAUGUUGCCCCACUGAAUUUUAUUUGACAUAUGGUGCUUGAUGAGAAUAUGCGAACUGAUUGUUGAAUGCCAUGUAAACUAGUGAUCUACAUAUUGCUUGCUUUGCUGAAAUUAGUGAAAGUUGUUAGUUUUGAGUGCUCAAAUCCCUAGUACACUAGAAAACUUAAUCAUUAUCUGCUUUUACCUCGAUACACCUAGAUCACCACGUUUAGAUGCUGAAUUUGUGCCAAGUGUCUUCCCAUUGAGAGCAAUCACCUAACCACUAUGGAUUAGCAUGCUAUGUUCCUUGGAUCGGUAGCAUGUGAACCAGACAUGGAGAAGUGAUGAUUCCUAUUUUUGUUCUUAUGCGUUGUUCAUUUAAGAUAAGUAAUAAUGAAUAAAUAAGUCUGACUACCUACAGUAGCAUGUCAUGUUCCCGGGAUCGGUGGCACGUGAAAUCGGGUUAGCUUGGGCAGUAAUUAAUAAUAAAAAAAUGUAAUUGUCGAACCAGGUGUAUACUAUGUUCUCGGGAUCGGUGGUAUGUUCCUUUGGGGAGACAAACAAACUAAAAAAACUGAUAAUUGGUCGAGCCAGGUGUAUACCAUGUUCUCGGGAUCGGUGGUAUGUUCCUUUGGUGAGACUAAUAAAAUAUUAUCAUUACUUCCUUCAAAUUUAAUAAGUGGUUCAACCACAAUGUUAUAUUUCUGCAAAUAAGUGAUUUAAUUCAAGUUCCUUUUGUUCUCAGGAUCAUGCUCUCUUUAGGAACCUUUUGGCACAGUCAGCAUUUGAACUUGCUAAUCUUCGUUUAUCAUUGCAAAAGUUUAAAAUGGCCGAGUUUAAUAGUGUCCUAUUGAUAUGUAGCACUCUUAACCAUUGAUUAUCACUAGGUAAGUCCAAAGCAUGCAAUGUUUGGAGAUCUACUUCACUGGGACAUUCUCUAGUCAGCUCACUGUUCACUAUCUAGCUCUUGUCAUAUGCCUUUGCUUGAGGACAAGCAAAGAUUUAAGUGUGGGGGAACUUGAUAGAGCAUUUCUUCAUAUAAUCUUUUUAGCCUUUUUGCAUCCUAUUGUAAUCAUAUUUUCACAUUAUUUACUUAAGAAAUACUCCAAUACCCCCAUUAUGCUACAUUUACAACACUCCUCCAUGUUUUGCACGAAAAGGCCCAAAAUCCUUCUAUAAUGGAGAGGGUCAAGAAACUGUGGUUGCUGUAAUUUACGGAGGGACCCGACCGUGAAGAAAAGAAGUAACCAGAGGGGCCAAGCUAAAGUUGGAGGGAUCAUCUUGUGAAGAAAGAAGAGAAGUGGAAGGGCAAAAGAGCAAAAGGGGCAGAUCAGAGGAGGGGGAUCAAAUCCCUAGCGGCUACCAUCGAUCCCCUUAGUGUCUGGCCACAUCUCCCUCUCUCUCCCCUGCCUCCUUCUCCAGCACAGGCCGCCGCCACGGCCAGGCUGGCGUGGGGCGCGCCACCAGCUCCACUUUGCCGCCGCACCUCCACACUCCAUGCAUCCAUUCUCUGCACCGCGACCCAUCCACCAUAACUACCACGAGUCCCUUGCUGCACCUCACGCCACCAAUCUGAAUCUCUUCUUCCUUUUUGUUGCUAUUCAUCCCAACCUCGUUGUUGUUCAUCUUUGCUACUGCCCGCAGCUCUCUUCUUCUCUCUCAAACUUGUUGCUGUUGAUGCCCUCAACCUCCUGCUGCUCCUCUCUUCUUGCGCCUCUUCUGUUGCCCCUUCUACCCCUACCUCGUUGCUGCUCUGCUUCUUUUCCGUCCCCACGCUGCUGCUGCUCCUUCUCUCUAUGCCCCUCAUGCUGCUUCUUUCCCAGUCUUGCAACUGCCCUUCUACAUCUCCAACUUGCUGCUGCUCCUCUGAACCUCUUCUCCUCCUAGUGUUGCUUCUAUAUUGCCGCUUUCCUGUAGCGGUUCCUUUCCUUCACCCGCUGCUCUCUUUGUGUGUGUGUGUGUGUGUGUGCGUGUUUGUGCGUGUGAGAUUGUGUGUGUUUGUACUUCAUAAGUAUUGAUAGUGUGUGAUGAAGAGAUAUGUUAAUUCCAGGGACAAGUAGUUGUUCUUAUAAUUUUGUUAAUCAGUGAGAAUUGGUACUGAUGGUUAUGACCUUCUAUUUCUAUGUAUGAGAUCUAGCCAAACCUGUCAUUUAUAUAUUGUACUUGCUGAAUAGUGUUCAGUUUUCAGUCCCUGUUUUAGCUCUAGUACCCGUGACAUAUAUGUUCGUGAUAUAUGUUUCAUGUGGUUUCGUAUUGCUGUUAUGUUGAUCAUUUUAGUGCUAGUAUUGUGUCUUGUGUAAUCCAAACCAUAUAUGAUUUGUGUGUGUGACUAAUUGUCAGCUAGUAGCUUUUAAUAAUUCAUAUUGUUUCUUGUGAAUUUUCUAUCGAUGUUACUCUCUAUAGAAGUGAGAUGUAUGAACAUUUAAUUUCCAGUCUCCGUGUUAACGAUGUUAGUGUGAAUAUAUAUAUAUAUAUAUAUAUAUAUAUAUAUAUAUAUAUAUAUAUAUAUAUAUAUGUUUUUGUUGUGAUAUAUUUCUGUCCCUGUCGUACUAGCGUGUUCCUACCUUGUCUCAUACUUGCUAGUUAUAUAUAUACAUAUAUGUGGUCUUGUCUUGUUAAUUCCCCUUGUUGAGGAUGUCCGUCUGUAGUUUCAAUUUUCUCAAGUGAUAUGAAAACACCAGAAAAGGAGCGAGUUUCAAUCUUAAUCUCCUCAUGCCAUUUGUCAUUUUAUUUGUCAUCAUUCUAGAUUUGUAUUUUCUUCUUUCAUCAUCUAAAUUCUGUCACCUAGCUUUAGCCGAGCAUUGUUGCCGUCGCCUAGUCCCUGUGGAGAACACUACACUCGCAGUUUGGGUGUAAAAACCCCACUGUACCUACAAUUGAUC
This 7184-nucleotide long non-coding RNA is filed under the name Triticum aestivum (bread wheat). RNAcentral's name for it is "long non-coding RNA (TAES_LNC012136)". The record is from RNAcentral. Lineage: Eukaryota; Viridiplantae; Streptophyta; Magnoliopsida; Poales; Poaceae.